Molecule: small nucleolar RNA, 82 nt
Organism: Dicentrarchus labrax (European seabass)
Lineage: Eukaryota; Metazoa; Chordata; Actinopteri; Moronidae
Source: Ensembl
UCUGUCGAUGAUGAUCAACUAUCUGCCUUGUUUGAGUUUAACGACCAUGAUAUAACUCACAUGCACUACCAUCUGAGACGGG